GGAUCAAUACCGUAUAUAUUAUAGACUAUUAUGGCUUUCACAAAGUUUCUUUGAACAAAUGAGUUCUUGAUACUGAAAGCCCAGAGAAAAGCUACACCUGCAAAGCAUUCCAGCUGAUAAGAAUAAUGAAUCAUCUUUGGAGCAAAAUAUUAAAAACUGAAAGCUUUCCUCCAUUUAGUGACAGCAUGUAAUUCCUUCCUGUACAAGACUCAUGCGUUGAUAAACCUGAAAAACCACUGAUGUGCCCAGAAAAAUUAUGGUAAAGCUCAAAAGAAGAUUAAUGGAUAUAACUAAGAUAAGAACUGGCGCAAAACAUAAAUGAUGUUGCUGAAAAAGAAGGAGUUGCUAUAGAACGAUAAUUUUCUUAGCUUUAUAUUUCGCACUUGUGUCUUGGCCUGUUGUCAAGAGAAUGCAAGUUUGGGUGAAAAUACUAAAAUGUACGUCUUAUCUAGUGAAAAUAUAUAAUGGGACCUACUCUUCAACGCUUA
Long non-coding RNA from Xenia sp. Carnegie-2017, 488 nucleotides. RefSeq lists it as uncharacterized. The record is from RefSeq and is a predicted model, not a curated record. NCBI's taxonomy places the organism in Eukaryota, Metazoa, Cnidaria, Anthozoa, Malacalcyonacea, Xeniidae. The transcript has 5 exons.